UAGUAGAACGAACAGAGAAAACAAAGGAGAUUCUGCCCGGCAAUAAAACGAAUGAAGUUGUAGUAACAGAGAAAGAAGAAAAACUACCUUCACAUGAAACCAUCAAGGAGGCAAAAGAGGAGAGUAAAAACGUUACAGAAAAUGGCGAUGGACCUCUGGUAAUAGAACGAACAGAGAAGACAACGGAGAUUCUGCCCGGCAAUAAAACGAAUGAAGUUGUAGUAACAGAGAAGGAAGAAAAACUACCUUAUCAUGAAACCAUCAAGGAAACAUCUGUGGAGAGUAAAAACGUUACAGAAAAUGGCGAUGGACCUCUGGUAGUAGAACGAACAGAGAAGACAACGGAGAUUCUGCCCGGCAAUAAAACGAAUGAAGUUGUUGUAACAGAGAAAGAAGAAAAACUACCUUCACAUGAAACCAUCAAGGAAACAUCUGUAGAGAGUAGGAAUGUUACAGCAAAUGGCGAUGGACCUCUG
This is a long non-coding RNA of Eriocheir sinensis (Chinese mitten crab), 476 nucleotides long. RefSeq lists it as uncharacterized. NCBI's taxonomy places the organism in Eukaryota, Metazoa, Arthropoda, Malacostraca, Decapoda, Varunidae. The record is from RefSeq and is a predicted model, not a curated record. The transcript has 2 exons.